Molecule: long non-coding RNA, 2403 nt
Organism: Passer montanus (Eurasian tree sparrow)
Lineage: Eukaryota; Metazoa; Chordata; Aves; Passeriformes; Passeridae
Exons: 5
Source: RefSeq, a predicted model, not a curated record
AAGAAACUGUGGAGAUAAAUACAAUGAGAAUUAAGCAGGGGGGAUGGUUGGAGACUGGGUGUGGGCAUAAACAGUGAAUGUAAAACAAGAAUGUAAUUAAGGUGGAGGACAAAUUUAGCUAAGAGGUGAGGCUGCAGUGAGAGCAGGACAUCUGGAGCUGAAGCUGCAGGAAUACUUUUGUUGCUUUUGGAUGAUCCACUAAUGAGAAGUACAGAAAACCCAAGAGGAUAUGAAUAAUUUUCUCUUAUGUGCUCAAGCAACAGGCAGCAAGUAAGGCUUGGUGCAGUAUACAGCAAAUAGAAAACGAAAAGUAAAAUCAUAAAAUGUAUCCUCCAUGCUGUACAAAUGAAGGACAGAAAACUCCUAGGAAAAUCUCUGGGAAUUCAGCUGCACUUGCAUAACUCCAGUUAGUGUGAAGAGACUGUUCAUGGAAGUCCUUGUACUUCUGUGAGCAGACAGAUGUGCAUCCACAGAGUGAGAAAGAAACAGUUUUGAAGUGGAAUCUGACAGCAAGAAGUCUAAGAGCAGGCUUCAGACAAUCCCAGCAAUGGAGACCUUCAAGGAAUCCCAGUCAGAAAGCUUCAUUAUGUGAAGAUGAAAAGAGGGGUGUUUUCGUCCCAAAUCCUGUUCCACUAGGAGGCAAUGGCUCAGGUUUCCUUCUGUUCUGGAAAAAAUACCAUGAAGAUGAUCUCAUGGAUAUCACAGAUUUUCAGCUUCCUCCAGAAAAUGGUAAACUGGACAGGGGGAGGACAUGCUGUACUUCAAACUGAGUUUGAUUCAGCUGCUACACAGGCAGCGACUUGCCAGAAUGAAAGCUAUUUUUGUGGCUGGAACAAAAGAAAAGCAAUUGAGAUUUCGUGGAAAACUGUUUGGAUCCUGCUGCAGCUGAGAGGCUGAAGUGUCUGUCUCUGCAGGACUCCUUCUGGACGUCCUUUCUGGUUACACAUGUGCCCAAGUAUUCUGUGGAACCGGGCCCUCAAAGCAAGAGAAACACCCACACACUUCCACAGACUAUCCAGGGACACAAACACUUUCCAGUCUUCCCCCAGAAAAACCCGCCUUGUCCUUGCCCUGCUGAGAAGCUCAACCUCAGCAGCAAAGACAGCUCUGCCCAGAUCACCCAGCACUGCUGGUGUGGGAGGGACAGAUCCCCCUGCAUCUCUCAGGGAGCAGCUGAGGUUUUCCUCUCACUGCAGAAUAUACUUCCUGAUGCAACUGAAGCAUUUCUGGAUUCUUGUUUUAUUAGUGCUAUUCCAGCCAGAAUCUGCAGCCAUCUCAUCCCAAACCAGCUGCAUACAGCCAGAGCAAUGCAAGGGUAUACUUAGAGGGUAUAAUCUUUUCUUAAAGCAAGAAUAAAUGUUACUCUUCUCUGAGCUAGGAGAAAUAUUUAUUAGAUGUGCUUAAGCAUGUGUGUUGCUCUAGGAUCAGGCAAGAAAAUGAACAGUGACUCUUACUUCAUUGUUGCAGGAUGAGGAAGGAUGGAGAGCAGCUGGCCCCUGCCUGGAUGCUCUGAGUGAACAACAAAAUGAGUUAGGUCAGGGUUUUCCUCACUCACACUCCUGUUGGGUUACUCAGAGCUGGCCUGCUGCCCUGCUCUCUCCACUGCAGCAUCGAGGAUGGAAGUGGAGGUUUUGCUGUUCUGUGAGGCUCAGCAAGCUGGGGAUGUUCUGCCUGGCCAGCAGGACAGGAACCCUUCAGUGGCAUAGCACUGCCUGCUGAAAACCUCACCAGGAAGCAAAAAGCUUAAAAGCUAUUACAUUUAUUAUUUGCUUGCUUAAUUUGCUCUCUCUGUUGUGUCAGACAGACAGACAGACUGUGCAGGGCAUGAGGAGAUGCCUGGAAGGAGGGAUGUGCCUCUGGCUGCCCAAAGCCCAGGUUUUCUCGGUGUGCAGCACCUUCAGUUCAGUGUGGCACUGAAUGGAUGCUGCACUUCCAAUGCUGAUCCAGGCUGCAGGGCAGGGGCAGCAAAGGCACUGUGCUCUGCCAGCCCCAACAUCAGCCCCACCAAGCCAGCAGAACCUGGCCUGGCCAAAAACCCACCUGGCUUUGAGCCUCUCCAGGAUUCUGUGCACACACCGAGUUCCUGCCUGCCUGCUGGCCAGUGUAACCUGCAGGUUGAUGAAUCCAGCCUACAUUGACUUGAAUGGCUUUUUGUUCAAAGUUUGUCAAUGUUUUGAGAAUACCUGGGUGAAAUUUCCUUUUUCCAUUUGAAAUAAAAGAGAAAUGUGCACAUUGAAAGAUGCAAAAGGCAUUCAAGAAGUGCACAGAUCAUCAUUUCAGGCAUUCUGAGCAGUGGGAUUGAGUGAAAUCAUUUAUAGCAUCUGUUUUGAUAUUAGAGUGGUUUUAAGCUGUAGAGUCCCACUAAACAAUUUUGAGAAAUAAAUCUUUCCUAGGUAACUUUUA